Molecule: ribosomal RNA, 700 nt
Filed under: uncultured bacterium
Lineage: Bacteria
Description: bacterial SSU rRNA
Rfam family: Bacterial small subunit ribosomal RNA
Source: RNAcentral
UCAGGCCUAACACAUGCAAGUCGAGCGGAAACGAGUUAUCUGAACCUUCGGGGAACGAUAACGGCGUCGAGCGGCGGACGGGUGAGUAAUGCCUAGGAAAUUGCCCUGAUGUGGGGGAUAACCAUUGGAAACGAUGGCUAAUACCGCAUAAUGCCUACGGGCCAAAGAGGGGGACCUUCGGGCCUCUCGCGUCAGGAUAUGCCUAGGUGGGAUUAGCUAGUUGGUGAGGUAAUGGCUCACCAAGGCGACGAUCCCUAGCUGGUCUGAGAGGAUGAUCAGCCACACUGGAACUGAGACACGGUCCAGACUCCUACGGGAGGCAGCAGUGGGGAAUAUUGCACAAUGGGCGCAAGCCUGAUGCAGCCAUGCCGCGUGUGUGAAGAAGGCCUUCGGGUUGUAAAGCACUUUCAGUCGUGAGGAAGGUGGUAGUGUUAAUAGCACUAUCAUUUGACGUUAGCGACAGAAGAAGCACCGGCUAACUCCGUGCCAGCAGCCGCGGUAAUACGGAGGGUGCGAGCGUUAAUCGGAAUUACUGGGCGUAAAGCGCAUGCAGGUGGUUUGUUAAGUCAGAUGUGAAAGCCCGGGGCUCAACCUCGGAAUAGCAUUUGAAACUGGCAGACUAGAGUACUGUAGAGGGGGGUAGAAUUUCAGGUGUAGCGGUGAAAUGCGUAGAGAUCUGAAGGAAUACCGGUGGCGAAGG